CGCGUACAGACACAUCCAAAGUUCCAAAAAUUUCAGUCAUCUCUCAAGACUUAUAUAUAUUCAAACUUAGGAGUCUUAAAACUAUCAUAGAACAUGCAUAGGAAAUAAAUAUGAAUUUUCUGUUGUUAUUAACAAUGACUCAUUGUGAAAAGCCAAAAGAAUUUUUUUUCAAAUUUAAUUUAAUCAUACAUAACGCCUUAUUACCUUACCUUGACAAACAGUAAAUGCAAAAAUAUAAACCCAAGGGGCAUGUUUAUCAAAUGCAGAACCACAGGUCACCCACCAGGCUGGUGUGAAGAAAUGACAUUUUCAAAACGCGUUGCAUUUAGACAAUUGUAGGAUACGUCACAGCAUCAAGUACAACUGAAAAACAAACAAAGAAAACAGCCUCUCUCUCCUGCACAUUCCUUUGGAAAAAGAGUGCUUUGAAAAAGGCAGCCGGAAAUUAAUAAGCAAAUGGUAACAAUCACAGCUGUGAAGCACUGCAGGAUCCCCAGGCGAAUCUCAAAACACUUGAUGUUUCUCAGCGUGGACUCCUG
This 539-nucleotide long non-coding RNA is filed under the name Homo sapiens (human). Its description in RNAcentral is "HSALNT0206508". The record is from RNAcentral. Lineage: Eukaryota; Metazoa; Chordata; Mammalia; Primates; Hominidae.